AAGGUUUACCAGUGGCAGUAUCAUAGCCUGUGAGGUUGAACUGAGGCAUGAUUGUUGCUAAUUGAAAACUUCCCUUAGCACAAAAGAUGCUAUGGAGUUGCCUGACGUGAAUGGAUGGUAAAUGACGUAGUUACUGGUAGAAACCCUGUGUGGG
RNAcentral lists this small nuclear RNA (154 nucleotides) under Crocodylus porosus (Australian saltwater crocodile). Its description in RNAcentral is "U4 spliceosomal RNA (ENSCPRG00005015990.1)". The stretch from base 2 to 82 matches the Rfam family "U4 spliceosomal RNA". From Rfam's summary of the family: U4 small nuclear RNA (U4 snRNA) is a component of the major U2-dependent spliceosome. The structure of U4 snRNA from yeast and human has been reported. Lineage: Eukaryota; Metazoa; Chordata; Crocodylia; Crocodylidae. The record is from RNAcentral.